GGUGAACGCUGGCGGCGUGCUUAACACAUGCAAGUCGAACGGAAACACUCCUACUUGCAGCGGUACUCGAUGGGCGAACGGGUGAGGAACAGGUAGGUGAUCUGCCCUGCACUUCGGGAGAGGCCUGCGAAACGGGGUCUACUAUCGUAUAGGACCACACCUUCGAGUGUGUGCAGGAAAGCUUCUCGGUUUGCGCUGAGCGCUGGGCCUAUCUGCUUGUUGGUGGGUUAAUGGCCUACCAAGGCGUCGGCGGGUGGCCGGCAUGAGAGGGUGUACGGCGACAUUGGGACUGAGAUACGGACCAGACUCCUACGGGAGGCAGCAGUGGGGAAUAUUGCCCAAUGGGAGCAAGUGUGAUGCAGAGACGCCGCGUGGGGGAUGACGGCCUUCGGGUUGUAAAAUGCUUUCGCUAGGGACGACGCGGAAGUGACGGUACCUAGAGAAGAAGCACCGGCUAACUACGUG
Molecule: ribosomal RNA, 465 nt
Filed under: uncultured bacterium
Lineage: Bacteria
Description: partial 16S ribosomal RNA
Rfam family: Bacterial small subunit ribosomal RNA
Source: RNAcentral